RNAcentral lists this ribosomal RNA (497 nucleotides) under uncultured bacterium. RNAcentral describes it as "partial 16S ribosomal RNA". It matches the Rfam family "Bacterial small subunit ribosomal RNA", at positions 28 to 507 of the family's 1533-position model. The record is from RNAcentral.
GAUGAACGCUGGCGGCGUGCCUAAUACAUGCGAGUCGAGCGAACGGACGAGAAGCUUGCUUCUCUGAUGUUAGCGGCGGACGGGUGAGUAACACGUGGAUAACCUACCUAUGAGACUGGGAUAACUUCGGGAAACCGGAGCUAAUACCGGAUAAUAUUUUGAACCGCAUGGUUCAAAAGUGAAAGACGGUCUUGCUGUCACUUAUAGAUGGAUCCGCGCUGCAUUAGCUAGUUGGUAAGGUAACGGCUUACCAAGGCAACGAUGCAUAGCCGACCUGAGAGGGUGAUCGGCCACACUGGAACUGAGACACGGUCCAGACUCCUACGGGAGGCAGCAGUAGGGAAUCUUCCGCAAUGGGCGAAAGCCUGACGGAGCAACGCCGCGUGAGUGAUGAAGGUCUUCGGAUCGUAAAACUCUGUUAUUAGGGAAGAACAUAUGUGUAAGUAACUGUGCACAUCUUGACGGUACCUAAUCAGAAAGCCACGGCUAACUACGUG